AUGUUACGGACCUUUUCUGAUGCUAUGGGACAGAAGCAUCCUAUAUCUGUGAUCACGGAUGGGGACCUUGCAAUGCAGAGAGCAAUCAGGGUGGUGUGGCCUGGCUCAAACCAUAGGCUCUGUAUAUGGCACAUUCAGCAGAACAUUGUACGCCAUCUACAUGAUGAUGCGAUAAAGGAGGAAUUCAGAUCUUUCAUAUAUGAUACAUCUUCCAUUGAAGAGCAUGAGAGAAAAUGGUUACACUUCUUACAAUGA
This 255-nucleotide ribosomal RNA is filed under the name Triticum aestivum (bread wheat). RNAcentral describes it as "partial small subunit ribosomal RNA". Lineage: Eukaryota; Viridiplantae; Streptophyta; Magnoliopsida; Poales; Poaceae. The record is from RNAcentral.